This 834-nucleotide long non-coding RNA is filed under the name Struthio camelus australis. RNAcentral describes it as "lncRNA (ENSSCUG00000012493.1)". Lineage: Eukaryota; Metazoa; Chordata; Aves; Struthioniformes; Struthionidae. The record is from RNAcentral.
AUGGCACAGCGAAACCAGUAUCUUUCUGUGGCAAGAUUUGCAUCAUAUGAGAAGGGACAGAUCUGCAUAUGUUUAUCACCACUGAGGUUGCAUCCAGCUGUGCUCUACGUACCAGAAGGGGGAGAGAGAGGCACUGGGAGUCUAGCCCCAGGAAUGGUGUCAACAGCAACGCAAGAGCAAGAAGAUGAGUUUAGAGCUCUCCUAUUGAGAUGGGGUUACGUGAACCUCAUUCCACAUUGGGUAGUGGGGACAGCAAGAGUAAGUAAUUUUCUGAGGAAGAAGAGAGAGCAGGCCAGCUGGCAGCUCCUGAGGACCACAGAGAGCAGGAAAAGAGCCAUCUGGAGCAGAUAGGGAAAAGGGUUGUGAGGUGCUUGGAGAGAGACCGUGGGAAUGGACAGAGAGAAGUCUUCAGAGGUAGGUGGGAAGUGUAUUAGAGAACUUUGGUAAAUGUGAAUAGGGAGCUUGCAUCUGACAUGAUAAGACAUGGUGCUGAUGAAGGGAUUUGUGGGCGGAGAGGGAAAGGAGGAAAAGAAUUUGUUAGCUGGGACUUGCUAGGAAAUGAGAGGAAAAGCUAGAGAAGAGAAAAUCACAAAACUAGUGGAAGGAGGUAGCCAAGAACCAAACUGGGCUUUUACUGAGAGUGCAGUUGCUAGAAUUUUAAAUAGCAAAAAGAAUAAUUGAUUAGAUUUAAUGACAGGGUUCCCAUCAGAAAUACGUACGUAAAUUUUUAUAUGUAUGCAUAUAUUUAGCUGUCUAUGUACAUACCCAUACAUAUAGAAGUGGUACUAACACAAGUUCUGUUUCCAGAUCACACUGUUGUAAUUUAUGGAGAGG